Molecule: long non-coding RNA, 1258 nt
Organism: Pezoporus occidentalis (night parrot)
Lineage: Eukaryota; Metazoa; Chordata; Aves; Psittaciformes; Psittacidae
Exons: 3
Source: RefSeq, a predicted model, not a curated record
CAAAAUGGACCCCUUUGGCUCUGCUGUUAAUGACUCUGGCACACCACUAGGCCUAGGGAGAGGAAGAGCACAGGGUAGUCAUAGCUUUCCUGCCUUAUGAACCUGCAGUUACAGAGAUGAAACUGUCACACAAGAGGCCCACAGAGCCAAAACAGUUUUUUCUCCCUUUAUUUCUCUCCACUCAUUAUUCCUUCUUCCUGCAGAAUGAGCAAUGAAAGAAGUGACACCUUUAUUUCCUAGCUCUGUUGCAAGCAAAGUAAGGAGAUACGCAGGAGGGGAAACACUGAACAUAAGAUCUGGAAGUUGUUUUUGUCCAGAACUGCUGCUAACAACACUGAGUUAUUUUAGAAGUCUUAAAAUUCUUCCAAACAAAAUAUUUUGAAAUAACUAACAGAAAGUAACCAUCACUUCUCAUGAAAGUGUCAGUGGCAAACUCCAGGCACUACUCUUACAGUACCUCAAACACACUCCCUGGUUGUCAUUCAGCUUGUGCAAAGAACAGUCAGAAGACAGGCAGUAUCAACAAUGUGAAAUGAAAAAUAGCAGACUAGGGUGGGUUAUUUUCCCUCUGCUCAGACAUACUGGCCAUCUCACAGGUUCACAAAGAUGACCUCUCUCCAGAGGUCAUCAUACAAACACCUAGUACAGCAACAAUAUUUCCUCAUACAUCGAUACACAUUUUUAAGAGUUAAUUUGAGGUGGGGGCCAUUGGUAGGAAAAAAAUGCCAAAAAGCAGGGCAACAAGAAUACCUCGCCUGACAAUGAGAACAAAGUCCCUUGCCACACUGUCAUUCUUGUUUGAGCAAUUUUUCUUCUGUCUUGAAUAUCUGGGAAAGGUUGUUCAUUGACUUUGGCAAUGUUUUUUGGUACGCACACAUCCAACGCAAGCAGUUUAAGAUACAGCUUCUAAAGAGGAGCCACCUACACAUGCAGCUCAUUUCUAUUUCCACCUUGAUUUCAGAAGAAGGUAUGGUAUGUAUGCAUAUGGGAGCCCCGCAGGCAAAGCACUGCCAUGUGGUAAGGCAGGCCAUGCCAUAGCACCAGUAAAACCCAGUUGGAACAGCUGCAUAGAGGCUGGAGAGGAAAACACAAGCUGCAGCAAUGAAGUAUGUGAGAAAUACCAAUGAGAAACUUCUUGCAGAGACAUCAGGCAAGGAGAGAUGGGCAAAUGGGUGUGCUGGCAAACACUCUUAGAGGUGAAUGCAUGUUCACAAAAUCCCUUGCUCUCACACUUAGGAUCUUCCUUUCCUUUCUUCCC